AGUGAACGCUGGCGGUAGGCCUAACACAUGCAAGUCGAACGGCAGCACAGUAAGAGCUUGCUCUUACGGGUGGCGAGUGGCGGACGGGUGAGGAAUACAUCGGAAUCUACUUUUUCGUGGGGGAUAACGUAGGGAAACUUACGCUAAUACCGCAUACGACCUACGGGUGAAAGCAGGGGAUCUUCGGACCUUGCGCGAUUGAAUGAGCCGAUGUCGGAUUAGCUAGUUGGCGGGGUAAAGGCCCACCAAGGCGACGAUCCGUAGCUGGUCUGAGAGGAUGAUCAGCGACACGGGAACUGGGACACGGUCCAGACUCCUACGGGAGGCAGCAGAGGGGAAUAUUGGACAAUGGGCGCAAGCCUGAUCCAGCCAGACCGCGUGGGUGAAGAAGGCCUUCGGGUUGUAAAGCCCUUUUGUUGGGAAAGAAAAGCAGCAGGUUAAUACCCCGCGGUUCUGACGGUACCCAAAGAAUAAGCACCGGCUAACUUCGUG
Molecule: ribosomal RNA, 492 nt
Filed under: uncultured bacterium
Lineage: Bacteria
Description: partial 16S ribosomal RNA
Rfam family: Bacterial small subunit ribosomal RNA
Source: RNAcentral